Molecule: non-coding RNA, 656 nt
Filed under: Drosophila virilis
Lineage: Eukaryota; Metazoa; Arthropoda; Insecta; Diptera; Drosophilidae
Description: Eukaryotic large subunit ribosomal RNA
Rfam family: Eukaryotic large subunit ribosomal RNA
Source: Rfam by way of RNAcentral
CAACCUCAACUCAUAUGGGACUACCCCUUGAAUUUAAGCAUAUUAAUUAGGGGAGGAAAAGAAACUAACAAGGAUUUUCUUAGUAGCGGCGAGCGAAAAGAAAUCAGUUCAGCACUAAGUCACUUUGUCUAUAUGGCAAAUGUGAGAUGCAGUGUACGGAACAUCAACAUUCUAGUAUGAGAAGUUAACGAUUUAAGUCCUUCUUAAAUGAGGCCAUUUACCCAUAGAGGGUGCCAGGCCCGUAUAACGUUAAUGAUUACUAGAUGGUGUUUCCAAAGAGUCGUGUUGCUUGAUAGUGCAGCACUAAGUGGGUGGUAAACUCCAUCUAAAACUAAAUAUAACCAUGAGACCGAUAGUAAACAAGUACCGUGAGGGAAAGUUGAAAAGAACUCUGAAUAGAGAGUUAAAUAGUACGUGAAACUGCUUAGAGGUUAAGCCCGAUGAACCUGAAUAUCCGUUAUGGAAAAUUCAUCAUUAGAAUUGUAAUAUUUUAAACAAUAUUAUAAUAAUAGUGUGCAUUUUUUCCAUAUAAGGACAUUGUAAUCUAUUAGCAUAAAUAUUUAUCAUAAAAUUAUGUCUGAUUGCUUAUUUGAAUUAUAUGCUUGGCAUUUUAACAUAAAAUAAAAGAUAUAAAAUUGAUAAAGUGCUGAUAGAUU